This 760-nucleotide ribosomal RNA is filed under the name uncultured Gammaproteobacteria bacterium. RNAcentral describes it as "bacterial SSU rRNA". It matches the Rfam family "Bacterial small subunit ribosomal RNA", at positions 8 to 763 of the family's 1533-position model. Lineage: Bacteria; Pseudomonadati; Pseudomonadota; Gammaproteobacteria. The record is from RNAcentral.
AGGGUUUGAUCCUGGCUCAGAUUGAACGCUGGCGGCAGGCCUAACACAUGCAAGUCGAGCGGUAGAGAGAAGCUUGCUUCUCUUGAGAGCGGCGGACGGGUGAGUAAUGCCUAGGAAUCUGCCUGGUAGUGGGGGAUAACGUUCGGAAACGGACGCUAAUACCGCAUACGUCCUACGGGAGAAAGCAGGGGACCUUCGGGCCUUGCGCUAUCAGAUGAGCCUAGGUCGGAUUAGCUAGUUGGUGAGGUAAUGGCUCACCAAGGCGACGAUCCGUAACUGGUCUGAGAGGAUGAUCAGUCACACUGGAACUGAGACACGGUCCGGACUCCUACGGGAGGCAGCAGUGGGGAAUAUUGGACAAUGGGCGAAAGCCUGAUCCAGCCAUGCCGCGUGUGUGAAGAAGGUCUUCGGAUUGUAAAGCACUUUAAGUUGGGAGGAAGGGUUGUAGAUUAAUACUCUGCAAUUUUGACGUUACCGACAGAAUAAGCACCGGCUAACUCUGUGCCAGCAGCCGCGGUAAUACAGAGGGUGCAAGCGUUAAUCGGAAUUACUGGGCGUAAAGCGCGCGUAGGUGGUUUGUUAAGUUGGAUGUGAAAUCCCCGGGCUCAACCUGGGAACUGCAUUCAAAACUGACUGACUAGAGUAUGGUAGAGGGUGGUGGAAUUUCCUGUGUAGCGGUGAAAUGCGUAGAUAUAGGAAGGAACACCAGUGGCGAAGGCGACCACCUGGACUAAUACUGACACUGAGGUGCGAAAGCGUG